Molecule: ribosomal RNA, 253 nt
Filed under: uncultured bacterium
Lineage: Bacteria
Description: partial 16S ribosomal RNA
Rfam family: Bacterial small subunit ribosomal RNA
Source: RNAcentral
UACGGAGGGGGCUAGCGUUGUUCGGAAUUACUGGGCGUAAAGCGCACGUAGGCGGCUUUGUAAGUUAGAGGUGAAAGCCCGGGGCUCAACUCCGGAACUGCCUUUAAGACUGCAUCGCUUGAAUUGUGGAGAGGUAAGUGGAAUUCCGAGUGUAGAGGUGAAAUUCGUAGAUAUUCGGAAGAACACCAGUGGCGAAGGCGACUUACUGGACAAAUAUUGACGCUGAGGUGCGAAAGCGUGGGGAGCAAACAGG